RNAcentral lists this long non-coding RNA (210 nucleotides) under Homo sapiens (human). RNAcentral describes it as "non-protein coding lnc-CXCR6-2:1". The record is from RNAcentral. Lineage: Eukaryota; Metazoa; Chordata; Mammalia; Primates; Hominidae.
AAGUGCUCCCACCGCCCAGUCCCCGGACCGACUGUCCCACCCGCGACCCAUGCUGGCCCCAGGUUAACGCCUGCAACCCCGGAGGGCCACAAAUCAAAGGUGGAUAAACAUGAUGAGAUGGGAGCAAGCUUAAGGGUACCAGAUGGAUAAUCACAUAUUCAUACCAUGGGACAUGCCCCUCGGAUGCAUCCUCAAGAAGGGAGAAAAGUU